GUGGGGAAUCUUGCGCAAUGGGCGAAAGCCUGACGCAGCAACGCCGCGUGCGGGAUGAAGGCCUUCGGGUUGUAAACCGCUUUCAGUAGGAACGAAAAUGACGGUACCUACAGAAGAAGGUCCGGCCAACUACGUGCCAGCAGCCGCGGUAACACGUAGGGACCAAGCGUUGUCCGGAUUUAUUGGGCGUAAAGAGCUCGUAGGCGGUUCAGCAAGUCGGGUGUGAAAACUCUGGGCUCAACCCAGAGACGCCACCCGAUACUGUUGUGACUAGAGUCCGGUAGGGGAGUGGGGAAUUCCUGGUGUAGCGGUGAAAUGCGCAGAUAUCAGGAGGAACACCGGUGGCGAAGGCGCCACUCUGGGCCGGCACUGACGCUGAGGAGCGAAAGCGUGGGUAGCAAACAGGAUUAGAAACCCGGGUAGUCC
RNAcentral lists this ribosomal RNA (426 nucleotides) under uncultured Acidimicrobiaceae bacterium. RNAcentral's name for it is "bacterial SSU rRNA". It matches the Rfam family "Bacterial small subunit ribosomal RNA", at positions 354 to 796 of the family's 1533-position model. The record is from RNAcentral. Lineage: Bacteria; Bacillati; Actinomycetota; Acidimicrobiia; Acidimicrobiales; Acidimicrobiaceae.